UAAAAUAUCAAACAGGCCCUAUGACAAAGAUGCCAAGCUGGCGUAUUUUUCAGCCGGACUUUUCAUUUUCACUGCGUCUUGAUGGUGAUCAUUUAUUUCAACCAGCAUCCUUGCAUCUUAUCUGACAUACACAUCUUCUUUAUGGCCAGC
Molecule: long non-coding RNA, 150 nt
Organism: Caretta caretta (loggerhead turtle)
Lineage: Eukaryota; Metazoa; Chordata; Testudines; Cheloniidae
Source: RefSeq, a predicted model, not a curated record